Molecule: unclassified non-coding RNA, 338 nt
Filed under: soil metagenome
Description: partial contains 5.8S ribosomal RNA, internal transcribed spacer 2, and large subunit ribosomal RNA
Rfam family: 5.8S ribosomal RNA (bases 1-120)
Source: RNAcentral
GAUGAAGAACGCAGCGAAAUGCGAUAAGUAAUGUGAAUUGCAGAAUUCAGUGAACCAUCGAAUCUUUGAACGCACAUUGCGCCCGCCAGCACUCUGGCGGGCAUGCCUGUUCGAGCGUCAUUUCAACCCUCAGGCCCCCCCGGGGGCCUGGUGUUGGGGGCCGGCCCCGGCCGCCCCCGAAAUGCAGUGGCGACCUCGCCGCGGCCUCCCCUGCGUAGUAGCACACACCUCGCACCGGAGCGCGGAGACGGUCACGCCGUGAAACGCCCCAACUCAAGAGUUGACCUCGGAUCAGGUAGGAAUACCCGCUGAACUUAAGCAUAUCAAUAAGCGGAGGA